GACGAACGCUGGCGGCGUGCUUAACACAUGCAAGUCGAACGGAAAGGCCCUGCUUGCUGGGUACUCGAGUGGCGAACGGGCGAGUAACACGUGGGUGAAUUGCCCUGCACUUCGGGAUAAGCUUGGGCAACUGGGUCUAAUACCUGAUAGGAGACAUCUUUAGCGUGGUGGUUGGAAAGUUUUUUCGGUGUUGGAUGAGCUCGCGGCCUAUCUGCGAGUUGGUGGGGUAAUGGCCUACCAAGGCGGCGACGGGUAGCCGGUCUGAGAGGGUGAACGGCCACACUGGAAGUGAGACACGGUCAAGACUCCUACGGGAGGCAGCAGUGGGGAAUAGUGGACAAUGGGCGCAAGCCUGAUGCAGCAAUACCGCGUGGGUGAAGAAGGCCUUCGGGUUGUAAAACCCUGUUGUUGGGGAAGAAAAGCAGCGGAAGAAUACGCCGCUGUUGUGACGGUACCCAAAGAAAAAGCACCGGCUAACUACGUG
This 484-nucleotide ribosomal RNA is filed under the name uncultured bacterium. Its description in RNAcentral is "partial 16S ribosomal RNA". It matches the Rfam family "Bacterial small subunit ribosomal RNA", at positions 28 to 507 of the family's 1533-position model. The record is from RNAcentral.